CCUACGGGUGGCAGCAGUGAGGAAUCUUGGUCAAUGGCCGGAAGGCUGAACCAGCCAAGUCGCGUGAGGGACGACUGCCCUAUGGGUUGUAAACCUCUUUUAUAAGGGAAGAAUAAAUGCUACGUGCAGCAUGAUGCCUGUACCUUAUGUAUAAGCAUCGCCUAACUCCGUGCCAGCGGCCGCGGUAAUACGGGGGAUGCGAGCGUUAUCCGGAUUUAUUGGGUUUAAAGGGUGCGUAGGCGGUUUAUUAAGUUAGUGGUUAAACGUCGGGGCUUCACCUUGAUUGGCCAUUAAUACUGUAAGACUUGAGUUCAGACGAGGUAGGCGGAAUAAGUUAAGUAGCGGUGAAAUGCGUAGAGAUAACGAAGAACUCCGAUAGCGAAGGCAGCUUACCAGACUGCGACUGACGCUGAAGCACGAGAGCGUGGGUAGCGAACAGGAUUAGAUACCCUAGUAGUC
RNAcentral lists this ribosomal RNA (459 nucleotides) under uncultured bacterium. RNAcentral's name for it is "partial 16S ribosomal RNA". It matches the Rfam family "Bacterial small subunit ribosomal RNA", at positions 338 to 795 of the family's 1533-position model. The record is from RNAcentral.